ACCCACGAGACCACACCGACACUUCUCGCACCCCAAAAUUUUCAGAGAGAGAGAGAGGAACUGAGGACUUGGAGAUGAUCCCAGAGAGAGGACUUGCAGAUGAGAUCCUUGAGGAUGCAGUGGCGACGGCAGCGGCCGGAGCCAGCGGUUGUUCGGAUCAACGGAGGUGCGGCGGGAGGUAGCAGACCGCACGUACGGCGAGUGGUUAAACAGUCGUAGCCUUAAGCGCUUCGCCGGCUGUUCUAAUAUUACUGCUCGCUACCGGUGAAGCCCUAGCCCUCCUAUUUACAGAUGAUUGUCAUGUACUGCAGGUGUAGAGAUUAUAUUCAAUUUUUGACAUCAACCGAACCAAUCAAGUCAAUUUUUUGGACAAAUGAAUAAAUAAAUAGUGUACUUAUAUUGUGCCAAAGACAUUUGAAAAUACGUAUUUAUUGCACUUAUUUUUCAUAUAUUUUGGACUCAUUUAUGGGCUCUUUUCAAAGAGAAAUACAUCAUUAAAUGUACAAGUAGAUUCAUAAUUUAGUUGCAUGUUUUAUUUAAAA
This is a long non-coding RNA of Malania oleifera, 542 nucleotides long. RefSeq lists it as uncharacterized. The record is from RefSeq and is a predicted model, not a curated record. NCBI's taxonomy places the organism in Eukaryota, Viridiplantae, Streptophyta, Magnoliopsida, Santalales, Ximeniaceae. The transcript is spliced from 2 exons.